UUGUAGUAGGAGAAUAGAUAAGGAGUCGGACCUGCCCGGUGAGAUAUUUCUUUAACGGCCGCGGUACUCUGACCGUGCAAAGGUAGCAUAAUCAUUUGCCUUAUAAUUGAAGGCUAGUAUGAAUGGUUUGACAAGAAUAUAGCUGUCUCUUUAACAAUUUAGUAGAAUUUUAUUUUUAGGUGAAAAAGCCUAGAUUUGAUUAAAAGACAAGAAGACCCUAUCGAGCUUUAGAGAAUUUGAUAGAUAUAAAGGAUUAUAUUAAAUCUGUAAGAAUGAAGUUACAAGAUGGUGCUAUCGAACACUUUGGUUGGGGCGACUGAGGAACAUGUAAAGCUUCCUUCAAGCGAGUUUAAAACGGACAAGUAUUGAUCCAAUUUUAUUGAUUAAGGGAAUUAGUUACCGUAGGGAUAACAGCAUUAUCUUUCUUGAGAGUUCAUAUCGAAAGGAAGGUUUGUGACCUCGAUGUUGGACCAGAAUGUCCUAAAGAUGCAGAAGUCUUUAAGGGUUGGUCUGUUCGACCAUUAAAAUUCUA
RNAcentral lists this ribosomal RNA (532 nucleotides) under Hastula penicillata. RNAcentral describes it as "partial 16S ribosomal RNA". It matches the Rfam family "Bacterial large subunit ribosomal RNA", at positions 1823 to 2598 of the family's 2925-position model. Lineage: Eukaryota; Metazoa; Mollusca; Gastropoda; Neogastropoda; Terebridae. The record is from RNAcentral.